Gossypium arboreum is the source of this 356-nucleotide long non-coding RNA. RefSeq lists it as uncharacterized. The record is from RefSeq and is a predicted model, not a curated record. Lineage: Eukaryota; Viridiplantae; Streptophyta; Magnoliopsida; Malvales; Malvaceae. The transcript has 2 exons.
GAGCAGAUUGAAACGAUAAGUCUUAUACCUUUGAAGUUGCAGUAGUGGAGCAGAUUGAAGAUAGUGAAUCUUAUCUCCAUGAUGCUGCAGUGGAGUAGAUUGAAGAUAGCGAAUCUUAUUCCCCUGAAGUUUCAGUGGAACAGAUUAAAGCUACAAGUUACAAAUCUUAUCUCCCUGAUGCUGCAGUGGAGCAAAUUGAAGAUAGCGAAUCUUAUUUUUUUAAAGUUGCAGUAAAACAUAUUAAAGUUACAAGUUAUAAAUCUUAUCUCCCUAAAGUUGUAGUGGAGCAGAUUGAAGAUAGCAAAUCUUAUUUCUCUGAAGUUGCAGUGGAACAGAUUAAAGUUACAAGUUACAAA